UACGGAGGGUGCAAGCGUUAUCCGGAAUCACUGGGGAUAAAGGGUGCGUAGGUGGCCCUGUAAGUCAGUGGUGAAAUAUCUCAGCUUAACUGAGAGGGUGCCAUUGAUACUGCAGGGCUUGAGUACAGAUGAGGUAGGCGGAAUUGGCGGUGUAGCGGUGAAAUGCAUAGAUAUCGUCAAGAACACCGAUAGCGAAGGCAGCUUACCAAGCUGUAACUGACACUGAGGCACGAAAGUGUGGGGAUCAAACAGG
This 253-nucleotide ribosomal RNA is filed under the name uncultured bacterium. RNAcentral describes it as "partial 16S ribosomal RNA". It matches the Rfam family "Bacterial small subunit ribosomal RNA", at positions 524 to 776 of the family's 1533-position model. The record is from RNAcentral.